Molecule: non-coding RNA, 219 nt
Filed under: Sulfitobacter geojensis
Lineage: Bacteria; Pseudomonadati; Pseudomonadota; Alphaproteobacteria; Rhodobacterales; Roseobacteraceae
Source: RNAcentral
UCCACAGAUAUCCAUGAUGGUUUUCAGUCGCUGACAUGCGUCUGGAAUGAAAAGGGAAUACGGUGAGGACGCGCUGAAAAGCACCGAAUCCGUAACUGCCCCCGCAACUGUGAGCGGCGAGUGACCCCGAUGAACACCACUGAGCCGAAUGAGGCUUGGGAAGGUUCGGGCGAGCAAUGACCCGCAAGUCAGUAGACCUGCCAUCUCGCGACAUAUCUU